UAGGGAAUCUUCGGCAAUGGGGGGCAACCCUGACCGAGCAACGCCGCGUGAGUGAAGAAGGUUUUCGGAUCGUAAAGCUCUGUUGUAAGAGAAGAACGUGUGUGAGAGUGGUAAGUUCACACAGUGACGGUAACUUACCAGAAAGGGACGGCUAACUACGUGCCAG
Molecule: ribosomal RNA, 166 nt
Filed under: uncultured bacterium
Lineage: Bacteria
Description: partial 16S rRNA
Rfam family: Bacterial small subunit ribosomal RNA
Source: RNAcentral